RNAcentral lists this long non-coding RNA (251 nucleotides) under Elaeis guineensis (African oil palm). Its description in RNAcentral is "long non-coding RNA (EGUI_LNC067165)". The record is from RNAcentral. Lineage: Eukaryota; Viridiplantae; Streptophyta; Magnoliopsida; Arecales; Arecaceae.
GUCUCCUUUUAGCCUUCUACAAGAACCAGACUUCGAUCGAACCUCCAUAGCGGUUGGAUAUUGGACGAGCUUCUAUGAUGAUCGGGCUCCAGCAGCUGGAUUCCUACAAUGACUGAUCGCCUUCGAUAUCUGCCGAACCUCCCCAACGCCAUCUGAAGUCCAUCACUGGCCGACCCUCCACCAGAUCCUUCAUAAAAUUGAACUUCCCCAACGGAUCAUCUUCAGGCAAGUUUCCACAUCGGACGAAUCCC